Molecule: long non-coding RNA, 204 nt
Filed under: Elaeis guineensis (African oil palm)
Lineage: Eukaryota; Viridiplantae; Streptophyta; Magnoliopsida; Arecales; Arecaceae
Description: long non-coding RNA (EGUI_LNC054175)
Source: RNAcentral
AGAGGAUCAAUCCUGCUCUGAAUCUCACAGAGUUGGAUGAGCCAUCCACAUACAUCAUCCAAAGUCAUCAUUAGUUUUUGAAGGACCCUCAUCAGUCAAAACAUGUGGCUCAGCCUCUUGCUGUUCAACUAACUCAUCUGGAAUGGUGCACUCGGCCAUAAAGUCAGCUAAGACCUAAACUUUGAUGGAUGGUUGGGGUUGAUA